UUUGCAGUGUUGUCAUUUCAAAUUAUAUUAAUAUCAAUACAGUUGGUGUAUCAGCUGCGUAAAGCAGUACCCUGCGAGUUACCCAUAUUUCGUGUAUUCCGAAACGUCGUUCACGGUGUCUGCAGGAAAUUCCAGUCUGUGCUAACGCGUCAAAGAUUGAAACAAAAAGGAGCAGCCACUUUCGUAAUCCCAUAAUCUAGUUAUUACAAUGUUAUUUUUAAAUCGUUCAAUCGCUCAAUCGCUCGCGUCUGCCCUUGCCACCAAGUGGCAUGCUCAACAUUGUUCCGUCCUUUCUUUUUCUUCCUGGCAGCGCAGCUUUUGUUCCCUGACGUUCUAACACAACAGUCAAACAGCCGAGUACAGAUAUGGCCAACGUGAAAAAGGAUCCUGGUACCUGUCAGAGAGAAUUAAUGAUGUCGACUUUUGUGUACAGUAUUUGAGACAAUUUUUUCUGUACUUAUUACAGACGCAAAGGUCACCACUGACACUAAAAUGGAUUGAGAAAUCAGUCGGGCUUUAGUAACACGCGUGUCAGUACCUUUUUCAUUAUAAACUUAUAAGAAGCUUCGUCACUGCACCUAUCUCUUCGUUUAUAACAUAAUAGUUGUUCAGCAAAAGAUUCCAAUCCUCUUGUUUGGCCCUGCGGCCCUGAAAGCAUCGAGUCAUACGGCUCAGCUAGCAGCAUAAAGUAACAUCUGUGUCCGUCAUUUGUCUCGGGACCCAAAAUUUCAGCUGUCUCUUCCAUGUUCCGAACCUAUCUCAACGAGCAGCUUUCACGUUAAAUCUGGACAGGCUAUACUUCGGAUAGAGGAUUAUAGUCACAAUUUAUUACUCGCAAGCAUACGACACGUGUGCAAGAGAGACAAUCGCAAGUUGAAAUAAAAAAUACAACCGAGCGUUAGUAUGCGAGAUAUAAAUUUAAUAUGAGAUAUCUAGUAGUAAAAGGAGGUACCAAUAAGAUGGCGACAUGAAACGCGGUUGGAGGGAGAGAAAGGGAUGCCCAAUAGACGGUAAUCAUAUUUCAUAAUGUGGCGUUGCGUUGGCGAAAUCGUAAAUGGAAUUAUACAAUGACGGUCAACAUUUUUUUACGGAUUAAUUGGAAAAAACUAAUAUUGCAACGAAUCUAAAUACUAGGUCACGUGAAAGUCGCCUUCCAAGCAGCCACAUUUAUUCGUGCGACACUUCGCAAGAAGCACUUCCAGAUGACCCUUGCCUCAGUGAGAGAGACCGGGGUACUGACACACUGCGUUCCUGUCUAGGGGACUCCUUUACCUUAAAGGUCAUACAGAGAUGACCCCUUGAAAAGUUACUUUACUUAUGGACGAACUGUGGAUAGAUUUGUAAGGCCCUACUAUAUGCCUAAUUGCUUUGGAGAUAUGUGAAAUGUGAAUGGAACAUUAAAACGGCAAAAAAUUAAAUAAAUAUUAUAAUUAUUUUUCAUUGCAGGAUAGACUGUGGAGUUUUUUGUUCACGAGAAACGAAACAAAGCAAUGUGAGCACAGAGUGCCACAAGAGAUAAUAAAAAUAAUAAAAUUUUUCCGCUUGUUCCAUCAAACACAUUAUACCAAUGAAAAAUAAAUAUAACUAAUAAAAUUGAAGUUGCGAACAUACGCAAAAAAGUAGGUAAGACUGAAAUUGGAAUUUGCCAUACGCUUGGCGGCGCCAGACUUUAUCGUGUCUCUUGGUAUCGUGUUACAGUUUUUCUAAUACACAUUUGCAAACAACAGAAAGAACGCUAAAGGCAGUCUAGGUGAUAUUCGCCUUCCAAAGAUUUCAUGGUAAUUCUGUUUGCAAUACCCAGA
Cephus cinctus (wheat stem sawfly) is the source of this 1802-nucleotide long non-coding RNA. RefSeq lists it as uncharacterized. NCBI's taxonomy places the organism in Eukaryota, Metazoa, Arthropoda, Insecta, Hymenoptera, Cephidae. The transcript has 3 exons. The record is from RefSeq and is a predicted model, not a curated record.